Molecule: long non-coding RNA, 5822 nt
Filed under: Podarcis lilfordi (Lilford's wall lizard)
Lineage: Eukaryota; Metazoa; Chordata; Lepidosauria; Squamata; Lacertidae
Source: RNAcentral
GCUGUGGCAGCGCUUCCUGUUCAUUCUGCUGCUGGUUUUUGUCGGAUCAUGGCAGGACCCCCGGUGACAUCAGGGGGAGCUUUCAGUUGUAUUUGCAUCAACAGGCUCCUCCCACUGGUGGUUAACCCUUGAUAGACUCACCCCUCCCCAAGGGGGUGGAGUCACGCUCUGUUUUAUCCAAUGCCUAAGCCAAUACCUCUCACAUGCUGUAAUCGAUAUAGUUGUGGCCUUUUUUAGUCCAUUAACCUAAUAUACUGUGUCCAUGUGUCUUUCUUAUUCUCAAGCGGCUGGCGGGUCCUUGAAUCACAACUGCAAAUGAGGUGGAGAAACACUGCAACAUAUUCAGGAACAUUUGCUAUCUGGAUAGGCAUCACCACCAGUCGCUACUGCACACUGGGAUGGAGAGGCCCAGGGGCAAGGCAUCAGUGUGGUGCAACUUCCGGCUAUAGAACUGGAAUGUAUGUAGCCAUGACUCAGCCAGAGGGAGGUCAGGUAAGUGAUGCAGCCCUGCCGUGCUGUCCAUCGCUGCAUGCAAGGCCAAAUUUUAUGUGAAUAAUCUCUAGUUUGGCCCCUAAUAGGAGGUGCAAAGGGACGCGGGUGGUGCUGUGGUCUAAACCACAGAGCCUAGGAUUUGCCAAUCUGAAGGUUAGCGUUUCGAAUCCCCGUGACGGGGUGAGCUCCCGUUGCUUGGUCCCUUCUCCUGCCAACCUAGCAGUUUGAAAGCACAAAGUGCAAGUAGAUAAAUAGGUACCGCUCCGGUGGGAAGGUAAAUGGCGUUUCGUUGCACUGCUCUGGUUUGCCAGAAGCAGCUUAGUCAUGCUGGCCACAUGACCCGGAAGCUGUACGCCGGCUCCCUCGGCCAAUAAAGCAAGAUGAGCACCACAACCCCAGAGUCAUCCGUGACUGGACCUAAUGGUCAGGGGUCCCUUUACCUUUACCUUUAGGAGGUGCAAAAAAGCGUUUUAGUGGGAAUUUUGCAAGAGGGAGGCCGAAAGGCCCCACAGGCUGGGGAUUUAUCCUUGCCCUGGACGUGGGGCCAAGCACUGCUAUUGGUCAGUUGGUCCUAUGCCCAGGGGGAUGCUCUCUGGUUCCUGCCGCCAUCGGUCAAUUUGGCGGCAGAAGGCCGAUCCGGCCUGCAAUAGGCCAGUUCACAGAGGAGGCCUGGGACCUGCUGCACUCUUCACUUGUGAUUCUCAGGAACUGGUAUUCAGAGGUAUACUGCCUCAGACAAUGGAAGCAGCCAAACAAACAUUUAUUGAACUGGUAUAUAUUUUACAACCUAUUUGGUAAGUCCGCCUAUCCUUAAACAAAACAAAGGUGUUGCAUAUUCACCUGAAUUCUUAUUUCCUUUGCAGAUUUGAAUCUCCCUGUCUCAAAGCUGAAAGAAGUCACUGGAGCAACAGCAGAAAAAAACACACAAAUUGAUUCCUUGUAUUAUCUUGUGCAAAUCAAUAUAGAGGAGAUGUAUCUCCCCCUCAUUUAAUUCUGUUUUCUUUCUAAAGGUCAGCUUUUGAAAUGAAUGUGAAUUCUUUCUCAUCUGACUAUAAUUAUUUAAGGCUUAACAACAAAUCUAUUCUUACAGUCUCUUUUGUCUUGGGUUUGAAUUGCUUGCUGUUAAAUGAAUUGCUUAUCAGGUUUCUUUUUUCUUGUUCUGCAAAUCAUAUGCGCACUGCUGUCAGACUCCUGUCUAUUAAUUGGUGGAACUGAGAUCUGAAUGCAGAUGGUAAACCUAUUAAUAAAUGAUGGUUGGGGAAAUACUUAUUGAUUCAUACAGGAAAAAUUAUAUAUACAUACUUCUGCAUCGUUUUGGAUAAUGUGGGAUUUUAAUCCUUCAUUGAUUUUUCUUUAUUUGCAAAUUAAGCUUAAAAUACGUAUGCUGUAAUAGAAAAAAAAAUUGCCCUGGGUUGCAGUUGCUCAGUUUUGAGGAAUAAAACAUACCAACAAUGUUCUCAUUAAGGCGGCAAAUUAAACAAUAGUGAGAUCGAGCAUGUUUUGACUUUUGCACAGAUAUAGAUCCAAUUUGUUUAUUACAUUUAGGCUGCAAACUCACCACACACUUAAAGUUUCCCUUGAAACCAAGGAUUGCAGUUUGUUAAAGGUGUUGAGAAUUGUAGCUCUAUGAAAGGUAAACGGCAGUUCCCAGGAUUCUCUCUCCCCCUCCGUCUGUGUGUAUGAGAGACAGCAUCCUUUAAAUGUGUUUUCAAUAUAUGCUGUGUACACAGCCUUAUACCCCUUAUGUUCCGUCCAAUGACCUCAAGAAGGCAUACAGGCUACUUUCCCCACUCUCAGUUUUAACCACCACAGGUAUUCUGUGAGGUAUGUUCAGCUGAGAGAUGAUGACUGCUCCAGGAUUCCCAGAUCAGUUUUAUAUUUGAGUGGAAAUUUGAACCCUGACCUCCUCAGUCCUUAUCUGACUCUCUGACCACCAUGAAACAUAAACAUAUUGGGUUGUAUCCAACUAAGUUGUCCCACUAAUGCAAGGACUUCGGCCUGUGCAGUGGGACUCCCUCUCUCUGUAUAACCCCCACCCUAAGUCUGAUAGGGAGGGUUGAGGGGAAACCCAAAAAUGAUGUUUCUGGAGAGGGGUGCGCUUGUGAGUUGAAGGUGCUCUGUAUGUGUGCUAUUUUAAUAGUAAAAUAAUUACACAGUAGACAAAUGGGAAACCUUUCAGGCAGUCUAGCAGUUUUCCUCUGGUUUCUGGCUCUGAUACUUUGAGUUAGAAACAAAAUGGUAGCUGUAGCAACUGAAUGUGCGUAAGGGUUUAAGACUCCUCUUGGUCAGUCUUUUGUACGGUUGGAAUAUUCCCCCUAUCAUCUUGCUCUAGCCGCUCCUCAGUGUGGGUUUCUGUGACAUGAUACAAACUCAAGAAAUAAUUGGUCACAAUGCAAAACUAUAGUUACUUGGGGUAUUAGAAUCAAUACCAUUCGGCAAGUCAUGGUUUGUGAGUGACCAGCAAGCAGGAACUGAUAUUAUGGUUUGAAGUUGCUUGAUAUUACAAACCAAACCGUUGUUUUUGGGACCUUAAAGGCCACUUUUGGGGAUAGCAUCAAGGGGACGUGGGAAACCAUGGUUUGUCUGUAUGCCUAAAACACAAAUCAUGGUUUGGUAUCCACAGUUGGUUCAAAGCACAAUUUUGUGUUGCAUCUAAACCACCAGUUUUUAAUAGGUUACAUUUCAGUGGGAUCUGCCCAGCUAUAGGUGCAAUCCUACACUGUGGAGACGUAAAACAUAAGAUUUGUUCUGGUGAGGUACAGUUCUCUUUCAAAGAAGAUUAGCUUUUCAAAUGAGAUUAGCGGUUUUAAGCCUGAUCUCUGCCUGCAAAGUAAAGAUAUCAUUUCUGAAGCUACAGGCCUUCUGCAUGAGGAAUUUACACAGAAUUCUCAUGUUAGAAAUGAAGAAGCCCUGGAAGCCGUACAUGCUGAAAAUAGAAAUCACUGUGACCCCCCCUCAGUAAAGCUGCCCCUCAGAAUGCAUUUUUGUUUUGUUUAGAUUGAGCCUUAUCACUCUUGAAAGUGAGCUCUGUCACUGCUAGAGACCUGCACCGAUAAGGCUGCAGAGACUCUUGUGCUAAAAAAGAAAUAAAGAAAUCAGCACAAGAAAUCUGCAGAAGGGAGAUAGGCCAGGCCAGAAAGCAGAUACCAUCAGCUCCUGACAGAACCAUCAACAGCCUGAGAGAACUGUUGGGUCAGCCCCUCUCUCUUUCCCUCUCUGGGCCUACUUACACCUGCUUACUCUGUCUCCAGUGCAAGCCAAGCAUACCCUCCAACAUUUUUCUGAUGAAAAUGGGAACGUCCUACUGUAUUCCAUAAUCAUAUUAUUAAUAAUAAUUUUACUAUUUAUAACCUGCCCGUCUGACUGGGUUGCCCCAGCCACUCUGGGCGGCUUCCAACAUAUAUGAAAGCCUAAUAAAACAUUAAGCAUUAAAAAAACUUCCCUAUACAUGGCUGCCUUCAGAUGGCUUGGGGACUGGAUAACUCCAUACCCUCCAACAUUUCUCUGAUGAAAAUAGGGAAGUCCUAAGGAAAAGUGGGACAUUCCGGGACCAAAACAGAAACCGGGACAGCUUCUAUAAAACCGGGACUAUCCCUGGAAAUUAGGGACACUUGCAGGGUCUGCAACUGCUGAUUUGGGAAGCAGUAUAUACACAAGGUUCUUAUGAAAUGCUGCAUUUUGCUGCAUUUUCCCCCCAUCUUUGAUCUGAACUGAGAAAAAGAACAACCUGUGUUUUAAGCCCGUAAUGUGUACAAAGUCUGCAAUGCGUACAAAGUCAAAAUGUCUUGAGGGAAGGCAGAAGGAAGGGAGACCAGGCCAGGGGAACAUGUGCCAUCAACUGGCAAAUGGGAAGCAAUGCUGGGCUCCUCCUACCCUUCUUCCCAAUGUACAGUAGAUGUUUAUUCCCACCCCCCUUGUUCCUGAUGUAGAUCUUCAAUCACCCCUUCUCUGGAAGAAAAACAAAUUUAUGCACUUCUAUCAUGUUGCCUCUUACUUGCCUUUUCUCUAAAUUACGAAUCCCCAAAUGUUGUCAUCUUUCCUCACAGGGGAGUCGUUCCAUCUCCUUCAGCCAUUUCAAGUUCUCGGUGAAAUCAGAUGAACAGUAGUUACAAACCAGUAGCCAUACAUUGUGGGAGGGAUUCAAGUUUAGGUUUGCAAAGUUAAGUGAGUUCAAGUGCUCUGCUGUCCUAGCACAACAAAUCCACUUUUAAAAAAAAGAAUUGGUCUUUUUGCAGCUAGGGAAGUGAUGGAGAAAGGCAUUGAAAAAUGUGUAAUAAACAAAUCACUAAUGGGAAGAUGUAUAAGGAUCUUGCAAUUAAGACCAAGUAUAAUCUAACCUUUGCAUAAUCUUUGUGUGAGCAAACCAUGCUGAAUAAACAGGUCUUUUUGAAUAGCCCUUUGCUGCAAACUCUCCAUGGACCCCUCCUUUGAUACUGUGUCUUAUUUAGGUGUCAUAAUUCUGUUGUGACUUUAUCAGAGUCUCGAGUCCAAAAGAAAGGGAAAUUUGUUUGGAAGACCAUUACAUAACUGAGUGUGGUUGGGGUAUGCGAAUGGGUAAAGCAGCUGGGAUCUGUGACGGAACCUUUGUGAUCCUGCUGUGAUCAUCCUCUCCUAUAUGGAAUUUUAUAAUUGGAAUUGUAGGAAAAACAUAAAUUAAAAUGAUGACAAAUGAUUUACCUCGCCUUUUAUGUUGUUGCUUCCUGGAGUUUUAUAUCAUGGCUGUGCAAAAGCUCUAUUUACCAAACAGUGGGUAGCCUGUGCCCAUUAAAGUAAUAAUCCUAUGUACUUUUUUUUUGUUUUGUUUAAAAAUUAAUUUUCCCUCAUGAAAUUGGAGACCUUGCAUAGUAACAAUAUGACCUUUUAAAAUUAACUCACUUUUUCUUACGUCUUUGUUUGUUUGUUUGUUCUUUGAGUUUGCACUUUAGGAUUUCUAAGGAAUAAGUAAUCCUAAUCUUGAAUCCUGUUGAUGAAAACUAUAUUAUGGAAAUGUCUGAAUCACUUACUGUGAUACGUAGAUCAAAGAUUGGGCAAAGUGCUAUGAAUAGCGAAUGCUGGAAUUUACUUUAAACCUGUCACAGGCCAGCUGGCAAACAGAAUGGCCCGAAUCUGUGACUGUGAGGAAUAACUGAAAUUUUGAAAAGUUGUACUAGAGAAACCCAUUUUGGCUGAGAACAACGGUCCUCCCUCAUCCCCAGGGAAAAUGUACUUUACCACUGUGGGACUGGAGCAGAAAUAUUUAAUAGAAGAUAGAUAAAUAGAUGAAAUGAUAAAACAUUAUCUAAGAUUAAUCAAAGGAUCAUUAGGCAAGUAUCUCAACACUGAAGAAGUAC